GCUCGACGACUUGGAGGAAAUGGACAAUCUUGGUGAAGCAAAAAAUACCAUCUUAUCCCAAGUAGAUAAUCGUAUAACUUCAAGUUCAAAUAAUCAGCCUCUGAUGGGCCAAGUAGAUAAUCGACGAUUUGUAGAUUGUUCUUAUUUGACCAUUACCUCUUUUUGUAAUUGAAUGGGCAAAUUAUCUUCAAGUUCUCAAUACUGUAGUAGCAAUUCUUUCGGCCAUAGUUUGACUUAAUUGGUCGAUGUGAUUUGGACGAGCUACGCUACGUAUAUGUCAUGCAGAAAGUAGUCUGUAUUUUAUGGUUUAGGCUGCACAUACAUAUCCUUUAGUAGGUUUUUGAGGAAAGCAGUUUCUCUUUUACCUCCUUAUGCUUUCUUUUCCAUUUUGUUUUGGGGAUCCAAGCUACUGAUCAUUUUCUUGUCUAUGUACUUCUACUUUUAGAUUUAUAUCUUAUGCCUUUUUGGUUGGUUUACUUGUUAUGUUUAUGUGUGCAGUAUAUAUGUAAUCAUAUUAUCUUAGCUUUAGAUGACAAUAUUAUUACUCCAGUAUGUAUCCAGAAUAUUAGUUAAUGGUGCAAAAAUAUCAACUGUAUCC
This 598-nucleotide long non-coding RNA is filed under the name Solanum tuberosum (potato). Its description in RNAcentral is "long non-coding RNA (STUB_LNC010680)". The record is from RNAcentral. Lineage: Eukaryota; Viridiplantae; Streptophyta; Magnoliopsida; Solanales; Solanaceae.